CUCCAUGCUUAUACCCAUUGCCAAUUCUGCUUGCAGGUUUACAGAGGGUUCCCAGAUGCCGUCAGUGGAAUUCCCAACCUUGGAGGACAGAGAAAUUGCUCUCCAAUAAUGCCCAGUCUAAGAAGUAAUGUUUUCACGAAGAACUAGUGCACCUUCAGAAGACCUGCAGUGGAUAGGGAGUAUGUAAGGGGCUAAUUUUGAUGCCAGCAACCCUAGGAUUGGUUGCUGGGGAAAGGCAUAGAGUUCUAGGUGCAAUGUUUUAAGGGGAAGACUUACACUAUGAAGCUAGCCCAGAAGAGGGUGACUAGAGUACUGAGGAGUUUCUACCUGGAAGGGCUGUAAGACAACUGCUAUGUUGUGAGCGGCUCUAUGGAGAGGCCCAUGUGGAGGGAAGUGAGGAAGGCCUCUGGCCAACAGUCCAGGAGGAAGUGAAGCCCUCAGUCCAACAGCCUGUGUGGAACUGAACCCUGCAAACAACUCUGUGUGUGAGCUUGGAAGUGGAUCCAUAUUCAGUCAAACCUUGAGAUGGGACACCAUGCUCUGCUAACACUUGAUUGUGGUCCCAGCUAGGCCACUGCUGAAGUCUUGACUCAGAGAAACGAUGAUAUAGUAAAUGUUUGUUGUUUCAAGUUGGUAAGUUUUGGGAUAAUUUUUUAUAUAGUGAUAAUUUUUUAUAUACUUUAAAAUAACACAUUGCCCUAUCCUUUGGUUACACUUUUCUCUUGGAACUCUGCUUGCCCAUAUAUUACAGAAAUAUUUUUCAGAUCAUGGGCUGAAAGGUGGAUUAUGGAUGCAAUGUUUAAAUUUAGCAAUGUCAUUUAUGACUGUUCAUAUGAGCUUUGCUGCAUAAAAUGUUGAUAUUAAUUUGUUUCCCUUUAAGACAUUCUUAAUGUUUACCUCUCAGUAUUUUCUUUGUAAUCAAUUAAUGUAAGAUGAAUAUAGUUUGUAGGUUUUACCUUUCUUGAUUCGUAUACAAAACACACAACAUCCAACCAUUGUUAUUUAAAGAUUAUCUAGGAGGAGAUGAUGGAAACUCUGUUUUGGGCCACCUUCUUUACACAUUGGGUCUAUUUCCCCUAACUUGAGUAUAUAUUAAACUAGUGGGGGAUUGAGCUACAAAAAUGCUACUUGGUGAGAAUUUUAUUAAUACAAAUACUCAACUCUGAAGUUACGUUUUUGUGGAAAGUUAUCACUUUGGAAUUUGAAUUUUCUUGGAGCUAAGCCACUGGUAGUUGUAAAAGCUACACCUGUAAAUUUGCUCCCUAGAAGAUACUUUCGUUUAGUGACCACUUGUUUCUCUGUGGAUAAAUUCAAUUAUAAAUUACAA
Molecule: long non-coding RNA, 1327 nt
Filed under: Homo sapiens (human)
Lineage: Eukaryota; Metazoa; Chordata; Mammalia; Primates; Hominidae
Description: HSALNT0383701
Source: RNAcentral